Molecule: ribosomal RNA, 468 nt
Filed under: uncultured bacterium
Lineage: Bacteria
Description: partial 16S ribosomal RNA
Rfam family: Bacterial small subunit ribosomal RNA
Source: RNAcentral
GACGAACGCUGGCGGCGUGCUUAACACAUGCAAGUCGAACGGAAAGGCCCUGCUUUUGUGGGGUGCUCGAGUGGCGAACGGGUGAGUAACACGUGAGUAACCUGCCCUUGACUUUGGGAUAACUUCAGGAAACUGGGGCUAAUACCGGAUAGGAGCUCCUGCUGCAUGGUGGGGGUUGGAAAGUUUCGGCGGGUGGGGAUGGACUCGCGGCUUAUCAGCUUGUUGGUGGGGUAGUGGCUUACCAAGGCUUUGACGGGUAGCCGGCCUGCGAGGGUGACCGGCCACAAUGGGACUGCGAUACGGCCCAGACUCCUACGGGAGGCAGCAGUGGGGAAUAUCGCACAAUGGGCGGAAGCCUGAUGCAGCAACGCCGCGUGCGGGAUGACGGCCUUCGGGUUGUAAACCGCUUUCGCCUGUGACGAAGCGUGAGUGACGGUAAUGGGUAAAGAAGCACCGGCUAACUACGUG